RNAcentral lists this transfer RNA (74 nucleotides) under Planctomycetota bacterium. Its description in RNAcentral is "Planctomycetes bacterium (activated sludge metagenome) tRNA-Ile". It matches the Rfam family "tRNA". From Rfam's summary of the family: Transfer RNA (tRNA) molecules are approximately 80 nucleotides in length. Their secondary structure includes four short double-helical elements and three loops (D, anti-codon, and T loops). Further hydrogen bonds mediate the characteristic L-shaped molecular structure. tRNAs have two regions of fundamental functional importance: the anti-codon, which is responsible for specific mRNA codon recognition, and the 3' end, to which the tRNAs corresponding amino acid is attached (by aminoacyl-tRNA synthetases). tRNAs cope with the degeneracy of the genetic code in two manners: having more than one tRNA (with a specific anti-codon) for a particular amino acid; and 'wobble' base-pairing, i.e. permitting non-standard base-pairing at the 3rd anti-codon position. Lineage: Bacteria; Pseudomonadati; Planctomycetota. The record is from RNAcentral.
GGGGGUAUAGCUCAGCUGGUUAGAGCGCAUCGCUGAUAACGAUGAGGUCCCAGGUUCGAAUCCUGGUACCCCCA